CCGCGGCCACUUAGGGAUGCAAAUGAGGCAUCGGGUUUCAGGCGGCCCCUCUCGCUUCCUUAAGUGAAGGGGUAAUGGAGAGCAGCCGCGGUCGGGUCGCGCGCAUCCAUCCUCGCCUCUUAAAUGCUAAUGAAAUUUCUUCGUUCUCUUCAUUAGCCCGCCGUCAUUAUCAGUAAUUUGUAGUCUUCCCCUUUUUUGUCCCCCCCCCCUCCUAUUCGCUGCCUUAAUGAAGGCAAGGUAUUGAGAGAAGGGCCCAGAGAGAGAGAUAUAGCGAGAGCGAGGAAGAGAGAAAGAAAGAGCAACCGCUCAAGGCAUUGUCUCAGCCUUCGGUCCGAAAUUACUCGUCGCCGGCUUCGAUGUGUGUGUGUAUGUGUGUUUGUGUGUGUGUUUAUCUCAGAACUCUAGAAAAAUGGUCUUCAGAAGUCUGCUUUUGUG
This is a long non-coding RNA of Ictalurus punctatus (channel catfish), 435 nucleotides long. The record is from Ensembl. Lineage: Eukaryota; Metazoa; Chordata; Actinopteri; Siluriformes; Ictaluridae.